GCGAGCGGCGGAAUGGGUGAGUAACACGUGGGGAACCUGCCCCUAAGUCUGGGAUACCAUUUGGAAACAGGUGCUAAUACCGGAUAAUAAAGCAGAUCGCAUGAUCAGCUUUUGAAAGGCGGCGUAAGCUGUCGCUAAGGGAUGGCCCCGCGGUGCAUUAGCUAGUUGGUAAGGUAACGGCUUACCAAGGCGACGAUGCAUAGCCGAGUUGAGAGACUGAUCGGCCACAUUGGGACUGAGACACGGCCCAAACUCCUACGGGAGGCAGCAGUAGGGAAUCUUCCACAAUGGACGCAAGUCUGAUGGAGCAACGCCGCGUGAGUGAAGAAGGUUUUCGGAUCGUAAAGCUCUGUUGUUGGUGAAGAAGGAUAGAGGUAGUAACUGGCCUUUAUUUGACGGUAAUCAACCAGAAAGUCACGGCUAACUACGUGCCAGCAGCCGCGGUAAUACGUAGGUGGCAAGCGUUGUCCGGAUUUAUUGGGCGUAAAGCGAGCGCAGGCGGAAAAAUAAGUCUAAUGUGAAAGCCCUCGGCUUAACCGAGGAACUGCAUCGGAAACUGUUUUUCUUGAGUGCAGAAGAGGAGAGUGGAACUCCAUGUGUAGCGGUGGAAUGCGUAGAUAUAUGGAAGAACACCAGUGGCGAAGGCGGCUCUCUGGUCUGCAACUGACGCUGAGGCUCGAAAGCAUGGGUAGCGAACAGGAUUAGAUACCCUGGUAGUCCAUGCCGUAAACGAUGAGUGCUAAGUGUUGGGAGGUUUCCGCCUCUCAGUGCUGCAGCUAACGCAUUAAGCACUCCGCCUGGGGGAGUACGACCGCAAGGUUGAACUCAAAGGAAUUGACGGGGGCCCGCA
Molecule: ribosomal RNA, 850 nt
Filed under: uncultured bacterium
Lineage: Bacteria
Description: bacterial SSU rRNA
Rfam family: Bacterial small subunit ribosomal RNA
Source: RNAcentral